Molecule: ribosomal RNA, 497 nt
Filed under: uncultured bacterium
Lineage: Bacteria
Description: partial 16S ribosomal RNA
Rfam family: Bacterial small subunit ribosomal RNA
Source: RNAcentral
GAUGAACGCUGGCGGCGUGCCUAAUACAUGCAAGUCGAGCGAACGGACGAGAAGCUUGCUUCUCUGAUGUUAGCGGCGGACGGGUGAGUAACACGUGGAUAACCUACCUAUAAGACUGGGAUAACUUCGGGAAACCGGAGCUAAUACCGGAUGAUAUUUUGAACCGCAUGGUUCAAAAGUGAAAGACGGUCUUGCUGUCACUUAUAGAUGGAUCCGCGCUGCAUUAGCUAGUUGGUAAGGUAACGGCUUACCAAGGCAACGAUGCAUAGCCGACCUGAGAGGGUGAUCGGCCACACUGGAACUGAGACACGGUCCAGACUCCUACGGGAGGCAGCAGUAGGGAAUCUUCCGCAAAGGGCGAAAGCCUGACGGAGCAACGCCGCGUGAGUGAUGAAGGUCUUCGGAUCGUAAAACUCUGUUAUUAGGGAAGAACAUAUGUGUAAGUAACUGUGCACAUCUUGACGGUACCUAAUCAGGAAGCCACGGCUAACUACGUG